UACAGAGGUCUCAAGCGUUGUUCGGAUUCAUUGGGCGUAAAGGGUGCGUAGGCGGCGCGGUAAGUCGGGUGUGAAAUCUUGGAGCUUAACUCCGAAACUGCAUUCGAUACUGCCGUGCUUGAGGACUGGAGAGGAGACUGGAAUUUACGGUGUAGCGGUGAAAUGCGUAGAUAUCGUGAGGAAGACCGGUGGCGAAGGCGGAUCUCUGGACAGUUCCUGACGCUGAGGCGCGAAGGCCAGGGGAGCAAACGGG
Molecule: ribosomal RNA, 253 nt
Filed under: uncultured bacterium
Lineage: Bacteria
Description: partial 16S ribosomal RNA
Rfam family: Bacterial small subunit ribosomal RNA
Source: RNAcentral